GAAGGAAACGGCUCAGUGGUAGAGCGCGUGUUUAGCAUGCACGAGAUCCCGGGUUUAAUUCCCAGUACCUCCA
This 73-nucleotide transfer RNA is filed under the name Camelus ferus (Wild Bactrian camel). It matches the Rfam family "tRNA". From Rfam's summary of the family: Transfer RNA (tRNA) molecules are approximately 80 nucleotides in length. Lineage: Eukaryota; Metazoa; Chordata; Mammalia; Artiodactyla; Camelidae. The record is from Rfam by way of RNAcentral.